GGACGAACUCAGCAACACCAGUUUGGUGGUACAUCAUUGUGUCUGUGGGUUUAGCAGCGCUCUCAAUAACUGUUGUGGCAGUCAACAUAUGGACUAGAUUUAAGGUGCAUAAAGAUAAAGAUGAAGGAGCAGUAAUCUAUGAAAAUGGGUCAGUCAGACUCCGCUGAUCAACAGCAAAAAUCUUUCUCAUCUGCAUCUGGUUCAGAUCACAGAAGCUGGAUUUUAUCUUUUCUUUUCUUUUAUCUAGAAUAGAUUAAAAUAGAAUAGUCUUUAUUUACCCCAGUGCUGAAAAAUCCAGUUUUUACUUCCUUAUUAGCUUCCAUACUUUU
This is a long non-coding RNA of Scomber scombrus (Atlantic mackerel), 329 nucleotides long. RefSeq lists it as uncharacterized. The transcript is spliced from 3 exons. The record is from RefSeq and is a predicted model, not a curated record. Lineage: Eukaryota; Metazoa; Chordata; Actinopteri; Scombriformes; Scombridae.